RNAcentral lists this transfer RNA (72 nucleotides) under Calotes mystaceus. RNAcentral's name for it is "tRNA-Leu". The record is from RNAcentral. Lineage: Eukaryota; Metazoa; Chordata; Lepidosauria; Squamata; Agamidae.
CCUUUUAAAGGAUAUACAGAAAUCCAUCGCCCUUAGGAGGCGACGCUCUUGGUGCAACUCCAAGUGAAAGUA